Molecule: ribosomal RNA, 428 nt
Filed under: uncultured bacterium
Lineage: Bacteria
Description: bacterial SSU rRNA
Rfam family: Bacterial small subunit ribosomal RNA
Source: RNAcentral
UGGGGAAUAUUCCGCAAUGGCCGAAAGUCUGACGGAGCAACGCCGCGUGAGUGAUGAAGGUUUUCGGACUGUAAAGCUCUGUUGUUUAGGACGAAAGUGCCUGUUGCAAAUAGUUACAGGUAUUGACGGUACUGAACGAGGAAGCCACGGCUAACUACGUGCCAGCAGCCGCGGUAAUACGUAGGUGGCAUGCGUUGUCCGGAAUUAUUGGGCGUAAAGAGCAUGCAGGCGGGAAUCUAAGUCUGUUGUGAAAAUGCGGGGCUCAACCCCGUAUUGCGAUGGAAACUGGGUUUCUUGAGUGCAGGAGAGGAAAGGGGAAUUCCCAGUGUAGCGGUGAAAUGCGUAGAUAUUGGGAGGAACACCAGUGGCGAAGGCGCCUUUCUGGACUGUGUCUGACGCUGAGAUGCGAAAGCCAGGGUAGCGAACGG